CUACGGGGGGCACCAGUGGGGAAUAUUGGACAAUGGGCGCAAGCCUGAUCCAGCAAUACCGCGUGUGUGAAGAAGGCCUGCGGGUUGUAAAGCACUUUCAAUUGUGAAGAAAAGCGAGGGCUUAAUACGCUCUUGUCUUGACGUUAGCUUUAGAAGAAGCACUGGCUAACUCUGUGCCAGCAGCCGCGGUAAUACAGAGGGUGCGAGCGUUAAUCGGAAUUACUGGGCGUAAAGCGUACGUAGGCGGUUUAGUAAGUCAGAUGUGAAAGCCCUGGGCUCAACCUGGGAACUGCAUUUGAAACUGCUAGACUAGAGUGUGGUAGAGGGAAGUGGAAUUCCGGGUGUAGCGGUGAAAUGCGUAGAUAUCCGGAGGAACACCAGUGGCGAAGGCGACUUCCUGGACCAACACUGACGCUGAGGUACGAAAGCGUGGGUAGCAAACAGGAUUAGAUACCCCGGUAGUC
RNAcentral lists this ribosomal RNA (464 nucleotides) under uncultured bacterium. Its description in RNAcentral is "partial 16S ribosomal RNA". It matches the Rfam family "Bacterial small subunit ribosomal RNA", at positions 339 to 795 of the family's 1533-position model. The record is from RNAcentral.